Non-coding RNA from Peromyscus maniculatus bairdii (prairie deer mouse), 1292 nucleotides. The record is from RefSeq and is a predicted model, not a curated record. NCBI's taxonomy places the organism in Eukaryota, Metazoa, Chordata, Mammalia, Rodentia, Cricetidae.
UCUUCCUGCGAGCAGCAGCUGCCCUCUGAGGCCGUUUAUUUUCUUUGCGUUCUUCAUCCAAAAUGGUAGAGAUGUCUUUCCCACGGUGACCUGUGAUGGUGGAAAUAUCUUUUCCUCGGCCAACUCCUGAGAGGAAGAGAAAAAUCUGGCUCCUUUAAAGAGAAACAUAUACAUAUGUUGACAGAGAAACAGUCCUUGGAAUUAACAGCUUUAAUAUUCUACCUAAGGAGCACACAUGAAGAUUUGUGUACAAGUUUAUAGCAACGUGCUUCUCCUCAGCACCCACUACACAGGAAUGGUGGAAUCAUCUUGCCGAGGUUAAGUCUAAAGGAUGGCCAUUCGAUCAAAGAUCUACUUGGGACAAGAAUGGCUUCACAAUUCCCUCCAGUGCUGACCGGCCACCUCUUCCUUUUUGCCUCAUUUCUAAACUGCAACUACACUUUGAAAAUUUGGUCACGUUCUCCUAGGACUGCACUGCAUCACACUGCUGAAGGCUGUUCACAUUUUCUACCAAGUCCACCAGCAACCUCUGCUGACAACCAAGAGGGAUAAAGUGAGCAAGAAGUACAUUUCUUUAAUCUCACCCUGGGACAGAGCAUGGUCACCACAUCUGAGAGGAGGAGAGCGUAAGAGGGAAGGUUCCGAAGGAAGGAUGCGCUACCUCGUAAGGUACACAAAAGCGCAGCAGCAUUGGCAGGCAUGCAAGGGCUGGGAGAGAUGGCUCAGUCGGCAAAGUCCUCAAGCAUGAGGUCUUGAGUUCCAUCUCCAGCAGCCGUGGGGAACCUGUCACAUCUGCCGUUAGCCCAGAGCUGGAGAGCCAGACACGAGAGAGUCACUGGUGCCUGCUGGUCAGCCAUUCCAGCUGAAUCGGAGGGCUCCGGGUUCAAUGAAAAAAUUAAGUUUAAAAAUUAAGUGGAGAAACAACGCUGACCUCUGGACAGAUGGACGGACACACACACACACACACACACACACACACACACACACACACGCACACGCACACGCACACGCACACGCACGCACAGUCUCAGCUAGAAUACUGAGUUAGCCAAUAACAGACUAUGUAACCUAAGGAAAGCUACUUACAACAGUCUUUGUCUUAUUUCUCUGAUCUAGAAAAAUGAAGUAAUUAUACCUAGUAGGCCCCCCUUAUCUAUGGUUUUACUUUCUAUGGCUUCAGUUACCCAUUCAAGUACAAUCCUAAAGGAGAAAAGGAGGUACAGAGGAGUGGGGUGAGCAAGUGACGGACUAUAUUCAUAUAACUUACUACAGCAUACUGGCCAAGGGCUCUA